Molecule: long non-coding RNA, 655 nt
Organism: Scylla paramamosain (green mud crab)
Lineage: Eukaryota; Metazoa; Arthropoda; Malacostraca; Decapoda; Portunidae
Exons: 2
Source: RefSeq, a predicted model, not a curated record
GGCAGUGUAUCUGUGGUAUAGCAGCCGCACACACCUUGUUGCAGUGAAACCUGUGGAGUUAUUCCCUGUGAGCGCCAGAGAUUGGUGAGUCUGUGCACAGGUAUUUCCUGAAGGACAAAGGGACCGUGAAGGAUUGACUGACUUUUGGCGAUAAGGAAUGGACCGGGGGGGAGGAAGGAGAGAUGCAACACAAGGGAACACAAAGAAAGAUCCAGCAGCAGCAGCCCUUUUGGUCCUUACUGUGGCAUUCAAAGAGGAUAUUGAUUCGUGAAUUGAGGACAUGAUGAUAAAUAGUUAGAUAAAAUGGAUGAAAGGAAGGAAAAGGAAGGAAGGAAGGAAGGAGGAAAUUAAAUGAAGGAAUUAGAAUGGAGUUAAAAAAGGGAGGGAGAGAUGGAAGGAAAAAAGAAAGAAGGAAAUUAAAUGAAGGAAAAAAGAAUGAAAUUAAGGUUAAAGGGAGGGAGGGAAAGAAAGAAGGAAACAAGGAAGAAAGGAAGGAAGGAAAUAACAAGAACACAAAAUAUGGACGAAUGAAUAAGUAACGAAGAAAAGAAGAAAAAAUAGAGACAAAAAACAAAGUGAAGCAAGAUGAAGAAGGAAAAUGGAAAAAAGAAGAGAUAAAGAGAAAAAGAAAAGGAAAUAAAAAAAAUAUUCCUCA